This is a long non-coding RNA of Tyto alba (common barn owl), 604 nucleotides long. RefSeq lists it as uncharacterized. NCBI's taxonomy places the organism in Eukaryota, Metazoa, Chordata, Aves, Strigiformes, Tytonidae. The record is from RefSeq and is a predicted model, not a curated record. The transcript has 2 exons.
UUUUCUCCAGCUGCUACUUGUUGCUGUGAAGGGAUUUGGUGAAAGGAAGCUUUGGGGUGGCAACUCUCAGAUCGGAAGCCCUGCAAGAGCAGCAGACGUCGCAGGACCUGAACCCGUCCCACGAGCGGCAAGGAGGCCAUCCGUCCGUGGACCGCGCUUUCUGCCCAGCCCAGCAGCCUCUUCCUCCUCCUCCUCUUCCUCCCCCCCGGGGCAGGCUGGCCCUCCCUCGCCGCUGGCCAGGCCGGUGGCACUCGCCAGCACAGCACAGACGGACAGACUGACGGAUCUCCAAGCGGGAAAGCCGGGGUCGGAGCAGGGCUGCCGGCUCCCCGGUGCCGCGCGGGCGAGCGGGGGGAGCAGGGAGGGAGAUUAAAAACCGCUCAGGACUUGGUCCAGGUCUCUGAUGCGAUGCAACGUAGGGCAGAAGGGAGAGAGGCAGAAAGGACGUGAAAGAAAAGCUGUUUUAUUUCAGUGCAAAAGUAUCCACUUUAAAUACCCUUUUUAUUACAUUAUCUGCAUAGUAAUACUAAUAAUAGAUCUUGUUGGCAGUUCUAAUGAGGCUGGAGAAUAUAAAGUUUCCAAUAAAGUUAAUUGUUGCCUUUAA